Molecule: long non-coding RNA, 3773 nt
Organism: Bombus terrestris (buff-tailed bumblebee)
Lineage: Eukaryota; Metazoa; Arthropoda; Insecta; Hymenoptera; Apidae
Exons: 4
Source: RefSeq, a predicted model, not a curated record
AUGUAUAUGGAAAUUCUAAAUCAAUUAUAAAACAUAGUGACAUUCUUAACUUUUCAUAUGAUCGUAAGAAAUGUUAUGAGCGUCAAGUUUCGGGGACAUAAGAAACAAAGUGUAUGUAUAUUCCUUUUGCGAACGUUCUUUCUAACUGAAAUGUCACGGCUGAUUAACCAACAAUUCGAAGAAGGCGCGUAGAAACAGAAAAGUGUGGUGUCGAUGAAAUCUUAGAUCAAACCUCCACAUCGAAGUAAAGUACCUUUCUACAACUUCUCUUAUGAUGUAUAACUGAAUAUUUUCAACGAAAUAUUAUUAUAAAUAUGGAAACUUGUCGAAGCUAUACCGGAUGAACUUGAAGAUAUUUUCGUAAAAUCUUUUAACUAAAAAACGAACGAAAAUGUCGAUUUCGUUCUUGAAAGGCGAUUUAACAGCGAAUUAACGCACGUUCGAGUAACAGGGGCGACAAAUAUCUUUAUCCGUUCCUGAAUGGAACAGAACACACCGACAGUAGAGAGAUAUCACUUUCCCGGCUUUCUUGGUGCCACGCCCGAUCGUACCGUACUUUUAUGCGAACUUGAACGAAACGCGUGUUCUUCGCGGCGCAUACUAAUUGACGAAGGCAGAAAAAUACGGCCAGUUCUAAAAUUUCACACGAAAUCACGAACGACGAGUAGAAUCGUGUUUAGUUAAAUUUUAUGCCUCUCAUUAAGAGGAGAAAUCGGAGGUAUCAACGUAAAAACAAUUUAAAUGAUAAUUAAUUGGAACAAUGGAGAAAUUAGACCAAUAAUACAUGUAAUACGAGACUUGUAAAUUAUCGACUGACCUUUUAGCCAAUUGUAGAGCUUAUUAUCUCCACCGUCUCGUAUAGCUUCUAGAUGGCUCUUUGAGGAACUAUUUCGAAAACUUUGAAAACCAACUUCUGACGGUUUAGCAUGGCUAUCGUCAAAUACGUCCUUUAGUUACCGCGAUACACUUCAAGUACCGUUUUGAAUCAAUUGAACGAGUCACAGCGUUUUUCUUUGACGGUUUGGCGAUUACGAGCAGAGUGACAGGAAUUGGGAACCUGUAAUUUCUCUCUUGUAAGAAAGUAACAAAUUUGACGAAUUUUACAAAAUCGAAGGAACGAAGAUACCACUACGAUCGAGUCAUUCAAAGUCGAAAUUAAACGAGGAAAUUGAUCGUUUGAUUGCAUCAUCGUACCGCUUCGCAUACACCGUAAAUUUCCUGCUAAUAUUUCUAACUCAGAGUCGAGUACAACUUGAAGAAACGAUCGUUCUUUGCUACGCGUUCGUGAAUUCAGACGUGUAACAGACACGUGUUCUAUUCGCAUACCAGCGACAGAACAAGACUAUUUCCAGCUUGCUAUAAUUUGUUCUUACACAAUGUUUUAUUUUAACUAUUUUUUUCUUUAAUAGUUAGUGUUGUCUAAAAAUACAAAAAUACAAAAGAUAUUCCUUGAUAGCAAACUAUUUAUUGAUAUUUUCUACUUCGUCGGUUCUCAUAACUUGAAACAAAGAAUGUUCUUUAUGUUUCUUCAUGAAAAUCGCCUAAAGAUGGCAAACAUAUUUCAUCCAACGACGUCUGUUCUGAAGAUCAUUUCUCAUGACUUAUCGUAAAUGUAUUUGCAUUAACAAAUUAAUAGUUUGAUAAAUUCCUCGGGUGUUCCUCGUCUGAUCGUUUUGAAUAUCUGUUGUCAUCAUGAAUGAGGAUAUUUUCAAAAAUAUUAUAUCAAUAACUUUUUCUCUUGUUACUUAUCAAGAAUUUUUAAGUACAAGACUUGUAAUCUUACAUGCUCAUUAUAUCUAGCAGGAUUCUCAUCAAAAUCAUUUAAAAGUUCUUUACAUUCUUCUAAUAUCUUCAUCCUGCCGAUUAAAAUACUUCCUCUAGUUCGUUCAGCUAGUUCUGACCCCUCAUGCAUGGCUACAGCUUCAAUAAAUUGACUAUUUAACUUUUCCUUUAAAUUCCUCACUUUCUUUUGCAACCACUGAUUUUUUGCCGCAACUUCUUGGUGCACAAGUGGACAAGAAACCUGAAUUUCAUGAUCUAUUAAAGCAAGUUCCAAUUCUUGUACUGGUUCAGUUAAUCGAUUUACUUAUGAAACUCGUCGGUCUUGAUUUAUUACACGUUUAUUCCUUAUUUUACAUACUCUGUCUGCGCAUCUCAACGCAAUAAAAGUUUCAUUCGUAUUGUAAUCUAAAAGUACAUCAAACGAAACAUGGAUUAUCUUCAAUAUUAAUAUUGAAUACAAAUGUAGGAUGGGAAAUCCUUCCAUACUCAAAUACCAAGAUCGUGGAAUACAAAUAGCCGCGACGUCGACGUAGUGAAUAACAUAGUCGGCUGCGAACACCAAGAGUCCGGGUGGAUUCGAUUGCCUGGCACGCCAUAGUCUGUAUCGUAUUUUCCACGAUAAAUACUACGUACAUACCAUUAUUACACGAUACGAUAAUAAUAACCUGCUGAACUAAUGCAAAAUCACGAAAGUGAUUGAGUUAAGAUAUAGAACAGUCCUGACAAAUUAGUAAAAAAAUGCAACUAACCACGGAGGCAACUUAUUGAAGAGACAAGUAACAUAAUUCAUUUACGUUAGUAGCAACAACAGCAAAGUUUGCCAUAGUUAGAUUUGUAAUAUAUUUCUGAACGUAGUAAAAAAGAAAGAAAUAAUAAAGAUAGAGCUAAAUCUACUUAGAGUAAGUUUUGCUGUUGUGGCUUUUCUGCUAAAUUAUGUUAAUAAAAAAGAACAAAAUAUUACAAUAUAUUAUAAGUAAAUGUUAUUUUUUCAUUUCUAGAUAUAUUGCUUACAGAACAUUCCUUUUAGGUUGAUGUAUAUGUGGAACGAAUAUCGCAUGACUUUGUCAUACUGUCCAUUCAUUUCGGUAGCACCUGCUACACAAAAAUCUUACUGUUUACUGUUUCCAUUGCAUUUGUAACUUCUCUUUUUAUAAAUCCAGCAAUCUUCAUGUUUUUACCUUCAUGUUUUUUUAUUACUGAUAUUGACAAUACCACUAUCAAUAUCAACUAUCAAUAUCUAUCUAUUAUCACUAUCACUAUCAAUAUUGACAAUAUCAAUAUCAACUAAUUUCGUUGUUUAUCGGUUAAUGAAUUGUACUGCUCUAAAAUGUUAUAAAUUACGCUCUUUCUCUCUUUCUACAUCUACGACUAAUAACAUUAAGAAGUUGUAACGUUAAAUAUUACAUAAACCUCGGUGAAAGAUGAAAGCGAUUUGAAAUCUAUGAAAGUUGAUAGUAAAAGUAGCUUAUCUCUCUACUAUUUAUAUAUGAUCGGAGUAUAUUAUUAGUAUAUUAUACUACUAUUCGCUAUAUCGUAUUAAUGCUAUUACUAUGUAAUAUUGAGGAUAACGAUGACUUUUAAGUCACAGUUACAGUGUCUACAAGAGUCUACAGGUCUUCAUCUUCGCACAUCUUGAAUAUAAUUCUAAAAACACAAAUGCAAACAAUUUUAAUUAAAUGCAUCUUCUUUCAGUAUUUAUAGACAAGUUGUCAGGGAAGUAUUGGCACAAUAUUGUAUUUCUUAUUGCAUUUACAUACCAACUAAUUACCUCCAGAUAUAUUAAAUUUCUUACCAUUUAGCAGCGCUUUCGUACGACUAGAAAAAUUUAGCGCUAUGAACGUGACGUGUAAAAUCUAAUGAAAAAAUGCAUCAUUGAAAAAUAAGAGAAUAUGACAAUGGUUCUUGUCAUCGCUGUAAUUAUUAAAUUUUACCAAUUACGCUUAAUCAAAACUACCUGUAACGCGAUUAAUAAAUUCGUGGUAAUAACUAUC